GGCGGUACGAGUACUUCCGGGUGACAGAGGUCAGCCCCGGCAAGAUGGCGGCCCCCAUGGAGCUCAGCUGCUGGGGAGGAGGCUGGGGUCUCCCUUCGGUCCACAGCGAGUCCUUGGUGGUGCUGGCUUAUGCCAAGUUUUCUGGCGCGCCCUUGAAAAUCAAUAUUAUAGAUAACACCUGGAGAGGGUCAAGAGGUGAUGUACCAAUUUUGACAACUGAAGACAGCAUUGUUUCUAAGCCUGCAAAAAUUCUAAACUUUCUAAGAAAACAGAAAUAUAAUGCUGACUGUGAGCUCUCAGCAAAACAAGGGGCAGACACACUGGCUUACAUCGCUCUCCUGGAAGAGAAACUUCUCCCUGCUGUGCUUCACACCUUCUGGGUGGAGAAUGAGAACUACUUCACCGUGACAAAGCCGUGGUUUGCCUCUCGUAUCCCUUUCCCUCUGAGUUUAAUCCUGCCGGGAAGGAUGUCUAGAGGAGCCCUGAAUAGGAUUCUCUUGACAAGGGGAGAACCUCCCCUCUACCAUGUCCAAGAAGUGGAAGCACAGAUAUAUAGAGAUGCCAGGGAGUGCCUAAAUCUCCUAUCAAACCGAUUGGGAACAUCUCAGUUUUUCUUUGGUGACACUUCACUUACAGAAGCAUCUGAAACAGCUCUGCAACCUGUGCCGCUUCUGUGAUGACAUCCUGGACAGCUACUUUAGGCCAGGCCCUGGAGGUGAGUCAGCAUUUCAUCAGCUAAUGCUUAUUCAAAUAGUUUCCUGACAGUGCCGAAGCAGAACAAGUUUGUGGAUUGUCUUAGAUCCUGGUUCAUGGCUUCAAGACCUGAUGGUUUCCCAGUCUUAUCUGCCCCCGUGUUGUUAUUUACAUGGAGAGAGAGGCAUUUGACUCCCACUGUCCUCUGGACUUUACCCUCUGUGUGUAUCUACCUAUAAGUAUUGCCCCCUGAAGUGAGUCAUUUUCUUCUAAAAGGUUAAAGCACACGUGUUGAGUCCCUGCUGAAGAGUAGUGUUUGUCCUCAUGCGAGUGGGCAGUCACUUUAAAUGACUCUUACCUGCUGCUUCCAGCAUUUUCCUUCAUGCACAGAAAUCAGUAGCGGAGUGACUUUGGUGAGGUGCAGUCCCAUGAUUCUACUUGAAAACUGAUUGCACCAAACUGGAGAUCUAGUAAGUAGAGGGCUCUUGGACUUAGGAUGGAGUUCUCUGUGACGGGGGCCUUGUGCUUAAGGGACUGGGGCACGAAGUUUGCAUCUGUGGAGAUGGCUGAAAUUGUCCUUUUAAGAAACAGAAGUUAUGAAGUACCUGGCUUAGGUAGACAGGCUGUUUUUUUGUCGUGAGUUAUGUGCUUUACAGACAGGGGGGUCUAGGACAUGGGACAUUAGGGAACCAAGAGGCAUCCAGCCUUGUCACUCUUGAGCAGUGGCUAGCAAGCCUGACUGACGACACAGCUCAUUUAUACCUUCCAAAUUAGAAUGUCCUGGGAUCAAGCUCAGAAAGACCUACUUUAAAAAAUCCUUUUAAAUGUCUUGGGCGCCUGGUGAGUAGAUGGUAGGAAACCGCUGCCUUAGCAAGCUGCCUGUAGUGUUCUGACCAGUGGCUGAUGUGUAAUGAUUCGAGAGAGGCAGCAUAUAUGUGAGACUACCUUGCCUUUCCUAACCUCUGUGGCUGGCUGCAUGUCAUGUUGCGCAGGGUCCUCCAUAGAUACAGUUUGUGUUUUCCUUUCUGAUUUCUUCUGGAGCGCUGUUGUCCCUCCUAACUUUCCCCUUGAGCCCAAAAUGGGUUUUUCUCUCCAUUUCUCUUUUGUUUUCUUUGGGGGAGGGAGCAGAGCAAUUGGGAGGGUGGGUAAACAGAAAAGCAUUGUUUUCAACCUUAAACAGUGUGAAAGUCUUUCAAAGUUCCCUUUCUUUCUCUGAUUUCUCUCCUGGCUUCUCAGGUGUCUCCCCAGCUGGACAAGAAAUGGUAGAUGCAAACCUGCAGAAGCUCACGCAGCUUGUAAAUAAGGAGUCCAACUUAAUUGAGAAGAUGGAUGGCAACCUCCGCCAAAGCCCUCAGCUUCUUCCUCGGAAGCUGCCGACCCUCAAACUGACUCCAGCAGAAGAGGAGAGUAAUUCCUUGCAGCUGCUGUCACCCUGACAGUCACAGCCAGUUGCAGCUGGUCUAAUGAUUGUUGCAGUCAUUGCUGAUGCCAAGUGCACAGAGACUCAAAGAAUGCUGUAAUAGGUUUAAGACUAGAGCAGAGGGAGCUGUAUCUGACUCUUUUUAAAUUAGGAAAGCUAUUAUUUUAGCUUGGCAGUGCAUUUUAAAUAAAGGUGAAUGCUAAGCGAACUGGGUGGGUGGGUGGGCAGGACAAGCCAAUGGUACUGUAUAUAAAAAUCCUGCCUUAACCUUGGCAGAUCUUUGCCUUUGGUUCAGGUGUUGCUGACCAAAAGCUGCAAUUCUGUUGUGAAUGUACAUUUUUAAUGUAUUUAAGUUAAUUUAUUAACUUAGUUUUUCUUAGACUUGUCUCAGUACAUAAUAUGUGGCUUUUUGGCUGAGACCUUAUUCUUUUAAGAAGUCUGAUGCCGAUUUUAGGAACCAGGAAAAAUAGAAAUUAUUUCAAUAGAAAAGCCUAUAUUUAAUUUUAAAAAGCAAUGAGGAAUAUGCUUCUUAAUUGUUCUCUCAUAAAUCUGCUCCUUUGGCAGUUUACUGCUACAUAUGCAAAUGUUAAAGGUGGUUUAUAUAAUACCCCUGAUAGCGCACAUGCGCAUGCACGCACGCACACAAGCCAGUGUGACUAAGUACUUGCUGAUAGGUUUGCUCUAAGCUAGCAGAGAUGAACAUGGCAGCCUUAGACCUGUGUAUUUAGUACACCAUUGCUUACGUGUCUCACUCUUAUAUCAACUCCAGAACUGGAAGUCUAGCUGUCUACUGUAUUGUUAUUGUGCUCACCUAACUGUUCAGCCUCCUUGGGAUGAGCCGUGGCGAGCGUCUCAGAUCUGCUCCCGUGUGUCGGGUCUCCGUGAUCCAUUUGACUCAAAGCAGUUUGUUUCCUAAUACGCAUAUCAUGUAGUCACACUUUCUGACAAACUAUUAUUUCCUGUGCAUUUUUAAUUAGAGUUGAAGGAUCCAAAGGAAUGAGUCAAUAGCAGGUUUCUCAGACGAUUUACAGUUAUUGGUUGUGAAUGAGCCGUUCAAGGAUUUGUUGUGUGGUAGUUUUACAUAUAAUAGAAACUUGCUGAUUUUAGUGGCCAACGUGCUUCUGUUAUUGUAAAACUACUUCUGGGAUUUUAAAAAUAGGACCAUGUUUGGGAUUAGUGUCUUACAAGAUUACUGUGGUGCUCAGAAAAUGUUGCCAAGUUCUGCAGAAACCAGGCUGUGUUGUCUAGAGACUCGGCUACUGCGAGCAGAGCGGAGCUCAGCUGCAUUUGACCUACAUCGCCCCAGGUUGCUCUGUUUUUGGUAGAUGUAAGUCUUAGGUCACUGUAAAUACUCAUUCUUGAAGCUUUAAAUAAGACACAGGUAGCCCUCACGGUCCCAUCCACCUCUGUGAGUGCAUUUGCAUUUAGGACAUGUACUCAACGAGUUUCACAGAGAUGCUUUAACAAAGGGUGUUUGUGUGUGUGUGUGUGUGUGUGUGUGUGUGUAUGUGUGUGCAUAGAGUGUGCGAUGUAGGGGUGAAUGUGUGCUAGUGAGUGUGGGUUUGAGCAUGUGUGUGUGAGUGAAUGUGUGUAGGGUAAGUGUAUGUGUGUAUGUGUGUGUGGUGUAUGUGUGUACGGGAGGUGUGAGUGUAUGUAUUUUUGCGAUCUAAAACAAGUUACAACAAUCUGAAAUCUGAGUAUAUCUGAGUAUUGUGUUUUAAAUGUAAUGAUCAAGAGGCUUCGUUGUCUCUAGGAUUGACUUUAUAUUGAAGAAGGAUGGUUGACACAUUAGUCAUAUAUCUGCUUAUGCUUUAAUCAGGGUUAGUCAUUUUCAACUAGUAUUAAUGGUAAACCUUCCAAAAAGUAUUUGAAGUAGUUUAUAAUUGUAAAAUGCAUGUAAGAGUAGGACAAUUCUUCUUGAAAGCUGACAGUUCCUAAGAGAAAGAACCGUAUCAACAGAACGAGACCUCACUCUGUGGGUGAUGUUAGAAGGUGAUUCUGAGGUAAGUUCUGCUGAGGAAGGAGCAGGGGCUUACAUGAUAGAAGAAUGCAGCAGGCCAUGUUCAGACGACUCCAGACUUCAACCAGGGAGUUACUGUGCUGUGUGUGCACCAAACUCUUCCUAAUCAUUUUAGAAUAACAAGCACUCAUUCUGUUUAGUGGAGAGGAUGUCUGUAAAGUGACUUGUUUUUUUUUUUUUUAUGGUCACACUGCUCUGAACUGCCUUUAGCCUUAUAUUCUGUAGCCCAUGUGCUUCAAAACCACAUUUCUGAGCUGCAGAACCUUAGUUAGCUGAGUAAGAACUUAGAUGUUAGUACUGAGUUCAGCUCUAUUUGUCUAAGUAAAUGGGACAGGAGGAAGCUGUAACUGAGCAUAGAAUACUUCAGGGACCAGGCACACUGAGAAGCUCUUAGAAGGAGGUAGUUCCUCAGACUGGACAAAGGGCCUUGGUGACCCUGUCAGGAUGUAUGUGCGUGAGUUUGCUGGAGAAAAUGGUCCACAGCCCUGACCAAACACUGUGAGCCAUGGGUUUCAGAGGUGGUGGUAGCAGCCAGCAUGGGAACAGGGAUUAUGCCCAUUUUUAAUUUUGUUGAUUUUACAGAGCUAGAAAAAAAAUUUAGUUUGCUAAUUCCCACAGGAAAACACCCUCAGUGAGCACUGUCAUCACAGUGGUGACCUAACACUGAAGAAACCACAGACAAGGGCAUGAGGGGACCCCACAAAAGGCUCACAGUAGCAAAUGUCGGGGUACUAGAGGACCUGAUACUUUUUGGAAGCAACCAUUUUUAUUUCCAGUUAUAAUCCCUAAAAAUUUAUAACUGAUAAAUACAGUAACACAGGGAACAAAGAUACUUAAGUUAAAUCUAAGUUAAAGUGUUUUCAAAGUUUAAAAAUGGGCAAAAUGAACAUCAACAGAGGCAGAAACUUGUGGAAUAUUGUAAGAAAACCACUUUGUUCAGGUGGUAUUUGAAUUGGGUACUGCAUCUCAAGACAUGCACCUACCAAGCUUGCUCAAAAUGAUUUUUUUUUUUUGGUAGGGUCAACAGUUUUUCAACAGCCACAACAAUAACCACUCAAAGGCAGAAUAUAAAUAUUUAAAUAUGCGUGGGAGCUGAAUGGAUGGCUCAGUACUUGAGAGAACGCACUGCUCUUGCUGAGGACGUGGGUUCAGUUCCCAGGACCUCUAGCAGGGGGUUUACAACCUUCUGGAACUCUAGCUCCAGGGGAUCUGGCGCCCCCUUCUGGAAUCCAUGAGCACCUGUACUCAAAAUGUUCCUGUACCCACCCCACCCACACACACAUACACAUAAUUAACAGUAAAAUAUAUUUAAAUAUACUUAGGAAGCUGAAUGAUGGGGCCAUGGAAUAUCUCCUUCCAUUUUUGUAAUGCUUUAAGAGUCUAUAAUUAUUCCAAAAUAAAAGGAUUUUCAAAAAGCAAACCUAAUAGAGUAAGUUCGUCACUAUCUACAUAUCUCUAUCUUAAAAUUUAACACUGCAGACUUAGUAUUCAGUUCCAAAUGAGAACUAGAUUAUAUACUGAUAAUUUUUUUAUUUCACUCUUGAGUUUAAAGAAAAAGGGGCUCAGGUUUCUAACAUGCUUCCCGGAAGAUCGCCCUUGCCUUGUGAGAAUGUUUCUAACAACCUCACACCAAAACGGAUUUUCCAUUAAAAUAUCAAGAUGCUUAUGAUUUUACGUUUCUAAUGUGUGUUAACUGAAGCAUCACUGGGCUUGAGAGUGCUGCCCGUCAUGAUGAGAAGGCCAGGGGGCCUUUGGUUCUUUGUUAGUGUGGAAGUUGCUGUUGGUGUUGCAAUCGCUGGGACCCCAGGAUGCUUGUUUGGCACUCAGUGCUGUUGUGUCCAAAGCAAAUGAGGACUCUGGGAAUUUAAAAGGCUUAAAAAUAUUUUUCCAGAAAAACAGUCCGUGGAUUACUUAAAAGAAUUAACAUUCUUAAACAGCACCAUGUGAUGGAAGGGGAGCUGGAGCUGAUUGCUUGUGAGUAGUGAAGGUGCGUUGUGAUAGAGGAUCGUGCCAACAGAAUAAGCAGCUUCUUUCAAAGGGGAAACAGGCUAGUUGUUUUUAUGCCCUCGUUAUUAUUAAUCUGAAGUUAUAAGGUAAAAAACAUUUAGUUUCUGCAAGAGUAGAUUCUAAGAGGGAAUUUGGCAGAAUAUGUUGUUCUACUAAGUUUGGAAAAUGCUGUAUUGUGCAGAGCUGACUUGCUGUAGGCUUUUCAGAGCCUUUGAUGUGUAAAUGUGUGUUUUUGGUUUCUAGCUUCAGAGAUGUUUUACUUUAUUAGCAAAGAGGACAGACUGAACAAGGCUGCGCGCAGGCGCAUACUCAUCCCCCAGGGGGACUCAUUGUCUCCAGUAAGCACCUCCACUUAAUACCACUUCCCUAACUUAUUUUACUGAGGAUUUUUUAAAAGUCGAUGUUUUAUGGGAUUUGUGUUCUGAGAAAUGUCCUUAGGAGAACAUUGAGGAUUUGUUGUCUGUGCUCAUUACAAAGUUUCUGCUUUGAGUGUUUCUCUGGUGAUGGUAAGGGCGACUAAACAAGCUCCAUUUCUCCCAGAGUCUAAACCAGCUCACCAGUGAGGCCAUGGCGUUUUGUCAGCCUCUGCAGCAUAUAUACACAGUCGCAGGCUCGAUGCUCCAGGGUUUGGAUGUACAUUAGAAGCACAACUUGCCGUGCGGUUUGGGUGCUGGAGUAAUGGUGAGCAACCAACCACAGGAAAAGCUCUUGGACCUUAGUCCUGACGCUUCGGUUUUCCACUCGAAGAUUAGAGCAAUGCCUGUAAUCAUGUAGUUUACAUAUCCCAGAUCUUUGGCGAUCACUGGAAGUGCCCUGCCAGAGUUUGCAUCAGCCUCUGAGAGUCAUUGGAGAAGGAGAAGGCCAUUCUGGCUGCUUGUUCUUUGGUCUGUGGGCUGCUGGCGUCUUGAUCUGAUGGCGGACGGGUGUAUACAAGCCUUUAAAUGCAUAAAGAUGAUUUGGGUUUCUCUUACGUCUUAUUGUUUUAUAAAAUAGAAACCAUCCUUAAGUGAAACUGAGGUUUUGUAGCUUCACUUUAGCUUUCUGGAAGAUCAACAGAGGAAGGGACAAGAGCUGCAUAUGAUGUUUAUUGGCUCCGUCUCCCAAGGCAGUCUCUGGAUGGGAAACAACGUAAGCAUCUGUUCUAGUGUGCAAAUACCAUAGCCUUGCCUACUGUGAAUGUAUUUUACCUAGAGCUGAUGUAGAAAUACCCAGAAGUGGAAAUGAUGGUCACUGUUAAGAAUGUAUUCUGACAAAUGAGAAACUGGAUAUAAUCUCAAAAUAGCUAUUUUCUCAAUAAAAUUUCAAAUCAUUGGACUGUUUGUUAA
RNA transcript from Mus musculus (house mouse), 7465 nucleotides. It is a transcript of the gene named metaxin 3, with no coding region annotated. NCBI's taxonomy places the organism in Eukaryota, Metazoa, Chordata, Mammalia, Rodentia, Muridae. The transcript is spliced from 8 exons. The record is from RefSeq and is marked validated.